RNAcentral lists this unclassified non-coding RNA (290 nucleotides) under Hevea brasiliensis (rubber tree). Lineage: Eukaryota; Viridiplantae; Streptophyta; Magnoliopsida; Malpighiales; Euphorbiaceae. The record is from RNAcentral.
UAUUCUACUUGGACUCAGUUGUUUUCAAAGUUGAUCUUUCUGUUGAAUCCGCUUUUUAUGUUCUUUAUUUUUUGUUAUGUUGAGGCUUUCAUCACUUAGUAAUCACUGGCAAAUUAGUUUAGAGAGUCAUUAAAUGGUUGUUUCUGCAAAGCAAAAAUGCAAGAGAUUUGGUUAGGCAGAAUACUUUCUCACCAAACCAACAAACCUGUGCACACUCCUGUUUGCAUGUAAACCUAACUAAUACUGCAGUUAUAAUUAAUGUGACUGUCUGCUUUUCUUCAACAAAAUGG